GCUUGUCUCAAAGAUUAAGCCAUGCAUGUCUAAGUAUAAACAAAUCUAUACUGUGAAACUGCGAAUGGCUCAUUAUAUCAGUUAUAGUUUCUUUGAUGGUUCUUACUACUUGGAUAACCGUAGUAAUUCUAGAGCUAAUACAUGCAUGAACCCCCGACUUUUGAAGGGGUGUAUUUAUUAGAUUAAAAAACCAAUCGUAGCGAUACGUUUUUUGGUGAAUCAUGAUAACUUUUCGAAUCGCACGACAUUGUUGGCGAUGGUUCAAUCAAAUUUCUGCCCUAUCACCUUUCGAUGGUAGUAUAGAGGACUACCAUGGGUAUAACGGGUAACGGAGAAUUAGGGUUCGAUUCCGGAGAGGGAGCCUGAGAAACGGCUACCACAUCCAAGGAAGGCAGCAGG
Molecule: ribosomal RNA, 399 nt
Filed under: uncultured Rhizophydiales
Lineage: Eukaryota; Fungi; Chytridiomycota; Chytridiomycetes; Rhizophydiales
Description: partial small subunit ribosomal RNA
Rfam family: Eukaryotic small subunit ribosomal RNA
Source: RNAcentral